RNAcentral lists this transfer RNA (67 nucleotides) under Methana sp. AUS1. RNAcentral describes it as "tRNA-Arg". The record is from RNAcentral. Lineage: Eukaryota; Metazoa; Arthropoda; Insecta; Blattodea; Blattidae.
GAAUAAAAAGCAAUUAAUUGCAAUCAGUUUCGACCUGAUAGUUAGAUAAUAAAUUUAUCCUUAUUCU